CCUGAUGCAGCCAUGCCGCGUGUGUGAAGAAGGCCUUCGGGUUGUAAAGCACUUUCAGUAAGGUGGUUAGGGUGUGAGUUAAUACCUCACAUCUGUGACGAUCCUGACAGAAGAAGCACCGGCUAACUCCGUGCCAGCAGCCGCGGUAAUACGGAGGGUGCGAGCGUUAAUCGGAAUUACUGGGCGUAAAGCGUACGCAGGCGGUUUGUUAAGCGAGAUGUGAAAGCCCCGGGCUCAACCUGGGAACUGCAUUUCGAACUGGCAAACUAGAGUGUGAUAGAGGGUGGUAGAAUUUCAGGUGUAGCGGUGAAAUGCGUAGAGAUCUGAAGGAAUACCGAUGGCGAAGGCAGCCACCUGGGUCAACACUGACGCUCAUGUACGAAAGCGUGGGGAGCAAACGGGAUUAGAUACCCCGGUAGUCCACGCCGUAAACGAUGUCUACUAGAAGCUCGGAACCUCGGUUCUGUUUUUCAAAGCUAACGCAUUAAGUAGACCGCCUGG
This 501-nucleotide ribosomal RNA is filed under the name Pseudoalteromonas sp. RNAcentral's name for it is "bacterial SSU rRNA". It matches the Rfam family "Bacterial small subunit ribosomal RNA", at positions 382 to 876 of the family's 1533-position model. The record is from RNAcentral. Lineage: Bacteria; Pseudomonadati; Pseudomonadota; Gammaproteobacteria; Alteromonadales; Pseudoalteromonadaceae.